AUGUUGGCGCAAGGAAUUAUCGUACCCAGCACCAGUCCGUUUGCUUCACCAGUUCUGCUGGUACAGAAAAAAGACCUAACAUGGCGUUUUUGCGUGGAUUAUCGGCACCUCAACGCAGUGACAGUUAAGAACCGGUUCCCUCUACCGGUGAUCGAUGAGCUCCUGGAUGAACUUGCGGGGUCCAAGUUUUUCACCACCUUAGACCUGCGGUCGGGGUACCAUCAAAUUCGUAUGAAGCCCGAGGAUGAGCACAAAACUGCCUUCAAAACCCACCACGGCCACUUCGAGUUCCGGGUUCUUUCCUAUGGACUGACAGGCGGUCCGGCGACUUUUCAAGGGGGAAUGAACAUUGUUCUGGCACCAGUCAACCGGAAAGGAGUCCUGGUUUUCAUUGAUGACAUCCUGAUUCACAGCGACACCCUGGAACGACACAUCCAGCUCAUGCGGCAAGUGUUCCAGCUACUUAACGAACACCAACUGAAGAUCAAAUUGAGUAAGUGUUCAUUUGCCAGAACCAGUCUCACCUAUCUGGGGCACGAAAUUAGUGCAGAAGGAGUAAGGACCGACGGCAAGAAUGUGGCUGCAGUUCAGAAGUGGCCAACCCCGACAAAUGUCAAAGAGGUACGCGGGUUCCUUGGAUUAGCAGGCUACUACCGCAAGUUCAUCAAGAACUUUGGCAUCAUCAGCCGGCCACUCACGGAUCUGCUCAAGAAUAACACGGUUUUUCGGUGGACUGAGCUCGAAGCCGCAGCGUUCCAAGAGCUCAAAACUGCACUAGUCACUGCUCCGGUGUUAGCCCUACCGGAUUUCUCGAAGCCGUUUGAGCUUGAAACAGAUGCCUCGGACCGGGGCAUUGGAGCAGUGUUGCGCCAAGGUAACCAUCCAGUGGCGUUCCUCAGCAAAGCUUUGGGUCCCAAGAACCGUGCCUUGUCCACCUACGAAAAAGAAGGCCUGGCAAUCCUUAUGGCAGUGGAGCAAUGGCGUAUUUAUCUGUAG
This 996-nucleotide ribosomal RNA is filed under the name Triticum aestivum (bread wheat). RNAcentral describes it as "partial small subunit ribosomal RNA". Lineage: Eukaryota; Viridiplantae; Streptophyta; Magnoliopsida; Poales; Poaceae. The record is from RNAcentral.